AUGAAUGUGGCCCUCAUGUUGCGCUGGGUCUGGCGGAUCUUGCGGGCUGAUGGAGGUUUGUGGCUUCAGCUGGUGGAGGCCAAGUACCUGCAGGGUCAACCCCUCUUAGCUUGCUCUCAAUCGGCGGGAUCCCAGUUCUGGAAGUCUAUCCAGGCCAUCAAGGAAGAGAUUAGGUUGGGGGUACGCAUCUCAGUUGGCAAUGGGUACGGUACUCAGUUUUGGCUGGACCCCUGGCUUGAUGGGGAGACGCUUCGUACUCGGUUUCCUGGGCUCUUUGUGAUCUGCGUGGCUCCGAACGUGCUAGUUUCGGCAGCCGCAGUGGAUGAUGGGUGGAACAUUGAGUUCGGCCGCGCAUUCGGUCCGGAGGAGGUGCGAGAGUGGGUAAACUUGAGGGAAGUAGUCCCUCGUCCGUUGUCCCAAGCUCCUGACAUAGUUUCUUGGAGUCUCUCUCCUUCGGGAGAAUUCUCCGUUAGCUCAGCUUACUAG
Molecule: ribosomal RNA, 486 nt
Filed under: Triticum aestivum (bread wheat)
Lineage: Eukaryota; Viridiplantae; Streptophyta; Magnoliopsida; Poales; Poaceae
Description: partial small subunit ribosomal RNA
Source: RNAcentral